This 253-nucleotide ribosomal RNA is filed under the name uncultured bacterium. RNAcentral's name for it is "partial 16S ribosomal RNA". It matches the Rfam family "Bacterial small subunit ribosomal RNA", at positions 524 to 776 of the family's 1533-position model. The record is from RNAcentral.
UACGAAGGGGGCAAGCGUUGUUCGGAAUUACUGGGCGUAAAGGGCGCGCAGGCGGCCGAUCAAGUCAGAUGUGAAAGCCCCGGGCUCAACCUGGGAAUAGCAUUUGGGACUGGUCGGCUAGAGUUCGGGAGAGGAGAGUGGAAUUCCCAGUGUAGAGGUGAAAUUCGUAGAUAUUGGGAAGAACACCGGUGGCGAAGGCGGCUCUCUGGACCGACACUGACGCUGAGGCGCGAAAGCCAGGGGAGCAAACGGG